Molecule: ribosomal RNA, 253 nt
Filed under: uncultured bacterium
Lineage: Bacteria
Description: partial 16S ribosomal RNA
Rfam family: Bacterial small subunit ribosomal RNA
Source: RNAcentral
UACGUAGGUGGCAAGCGUUGUCCGGAUUUAUUGGGCGUAAAGCGCGCGCAGGUGGUUUCUUAAGUCUGAUGUGAAAGCCCACGGCUCAACCGUGGAGGGUCAUUGGAAACUGGGAGACUUGAGUGCAGAAGAGGAAAGUGGAAUUCCAAGUGUAGCGGUGAAAUGCGUAGAUAUCGAGAGGAACACCAGUGGCGAAGGCGAGUCCCUGGACAACACCUGACACUGAGGCACGAAAGCUAGGGGAGCAAACAGG